UCUUUGAUGGUCUAGCGGUCAUGAUUUCCGCUUGUCACGCGGGAGACCGGGGCUCGACUCCCCGUCAGAGAG
RNAcentral lists this transfer RNA (72 nucleotides) under Blumeria hordei DH14. Its description in RNAcentral is "tRNA-Asp (GTC) (tRNA-Asp-GTC-9-1)". It matches the Rfam family "tRNA". From Rfam's summary of the family: Transfer RNA (tRNA) molecules are approximately 80 nucleotides in length. Their secondary structure includes four short double-helical elements and three loops (D, anti-codon, and T loops). The record is from RNAcentral. Lineage: Eukaryota; Fungi; Ascomycota; Leotiomycetes; Helotiales; Erysiphaceae.